GAGCGAACGCUGGCGGCAGGCUUAACACAUGCAAGUCGAGCGGGCGUAGCAAUACGUCAGCGGCAGACGGGUGAGUAACGCGUGGGAACGUACCUUUUGGUUCGGAACAACACAGGGAAACUUGUGCUAAUACCGGAUAAGCCCUUACGGGGAAAGAUUUAUCGCCGAAAGAUCGGCCCGCGUCUGAUUAGCUAGUUGGUGAGGUAACGGCUCACCAAGGCGACGAUCAGUAGCUGGUCUGAGAGGAUGAUCAGCCACAUUGGGACUGAGACACGGCCCAAACUCCUACGGGAGGCAGCAGUGGGGAAUAUUGGACAAUGGGCGCAAGCCUGAUCCAGCCAU
This 342-nucleotide ribosomal RNA is filed under the name uncultured rape rhizosphere bacterium wr0114. RNAcentral describes it as "bacterial SSU rRNA". It matches the Rfam family "Bacterial small subunit ribosomal RNA", at positions 27 to 395 of the family's 1533-position model. The record is from RNAcentral.